Long non-coding RNA from Oncorhynchus gorbuscha (pink salmon), 2329 nucleotides. RefSeq lists it as uncharacterized. NCBI's taxonomy places the organism in Eukaryota, Metazoa, Chordata, Actinopteri, Salmoniformes, Salmonidae. The transcript is spliced from 2 exons. The record is from RefSeq and is a predicted model, not a curated record.
GUAACAAAUUACUUUUUAGACAUUUUACGACUUCGGGUGUGUUCUUAAAUUCAAUGUGGAGUGCGCUCCUAAAUUCGGAGCAUUGUCGGAUUGUCUGUUUGUAAAUCCAGAGCGUUUCGCUCUCAAAACGCACACUGGACGCUCGGGAUGUUUAGGGUUGCUUUGAACAUUCUGACCUUACAACUGCAGUCAAGCACCCAAGCUAACGCUGGCUAGCUUGCUAGCUCCUUCCAGACACAAAUGAGACCACUGACCAUUUUACUCGCCAUAAUAGUACGGUUAAUAUGAGUAUUCGAACACAGCAUUUGUCUGGAAAUAAAAUAAACUUCUCAACUGCGUUACUCAUUCCAGUCAGCAGAUGGCGAUGUGCGUCUUUCGGGCGAUGCUGCUCAUGUGACGUAAAUUCUAGUGGACGGGACCAGAUGCUUCUUCAACAACAACAGCUAUCGUUAGGUUGAUAGCCAACAUAGCCGAAACACUCAAGCGCUUUACUGUCGGUUGUUUUGGUGUAUAUUAAUCACAGUGUUUUAUCUACUUGUUACCCCAUUUAAUGUCAUACUUUGUUGUUAGUCAGCUAAGUGUCUGGUUAAGUUAGCACUAAUUUAGCUAGCUUUUAUCCCCGACCAUGAGCUCACUAAACUAUUCUCCCCCUGUUUAAAAAAGGUCUGCUGGACGGAGAAAGAGGGUCUGUGGCUGAACAUUGUCGUGAAAGAAGAGAAGGGACAGGUUGAUGUCACAGUGAAAAAAUAAGUAGAGGGCGAGGCUGUUACAGUGAAAGAAGAGGAAGAUGCGUUCAGAAUUAAAGACGAGGAGGAUGUUGCCAUGAAAGAGGCUACUGCAGUUCAUGGAGUGAAGAAGGAAGGGGAGAUUACUGUCACAUUGACAGAGGAGACCGGAUAUCUAAUUAACACUGGAGAGGGACCUGACUCUCGCCAUGACAGCAGGAAGAGUCCUUCAGUCCUUUUACCAAGUUAGGGAGCCUGAAAAACCAUGAGAGAACACACACAGGAGAAAAGCCUCACCACUGCGCCCAGUGUGGAAAAAGUUUUAUUUGGUUAUGUGACCUGAAAAGGCAUGAGAGGACACACACAGGAGAAAAACCUUUCCAAUGUUCCCAGUGUGGAAAGAGUUUUAACGAUAUAGGGUACUUAUUAAUACAUCAAAGAAUACACUCUGGAGAGAAGCGUUACUGCUGCUUCAAAUGUGGGACAACUUUUACCUGGUUAGGGAGCCUGAAAACGCAUGAGAGGGCACACACAGGAGAAAAGCCUUUCCAAUGUUCCCAACCGUGGAAAGCGUUUUACCCAGGUAGGGGCCCUAAAUAAGCACAAGGACACACAGGAGAGAAGCCCUUCCAAUGCUCUCUGUGUGGAAAGAGUUUUACUCAGUUAGGGGGCCUGUAUAGGCAUGACAGGGCACACACAGAAGGGGAUAAGACCUACCACUGCUACCUGUGUGGAAAUAUAUUUAGCCGGUUACGGUAUCUGAAUAAGCAUGAAAGGAUACAUACACAGGAGGAGAAGACAUAUCACUGCUCUCAUUGUGAAAAUACAUUUUCCCGGUUAGAGGACCUGAAAUCACAUGAGAAAAUAGAAAGGCUGUGUUCAGACUUAUGUUUUUGACUUGAGAAUGUGUUUUUGUUUAUGCCUUAUGAAAUCAAAUUGUAUAUUUGAAAGCUUGCUUGAAAAUAGUCUUAUUUUUGUAUUAUUGUUUGACAUGAUUAUAUAUAAAUUCAGAUGUAUUAAGUUUGUAUUAUGAUAUAUUGAAUACAAGAAUAAACCCCUUAGAUAUUCAUUUUAUGAUUUGUAUAUUUUAAAAUGUAAAUUGUUAUUUAAGUAACAACUUGCACAGGGCUUGGCUAUUCUAAGCCAGGAGGCUGAUAGGCUCCUGUUCCGAUCUCCUAUUUCUGUAGUUUGAGGCAGCUUGAUGUACAAGUACACCCCCUGGACAGGACGUUAGUUUAUACAAUUAUUAUAUAGAUUAAUGGUAUUUUGCAUUUAUUAAUUCUAACCUUGAAAACCUCUUGAAUUGAAAAUAUGAUUUGGAUAUUGCUAAAUUAAUUUGAUUGGAUAAAUUGUUUGGAUGUUGAAAAUGUAUUUGAUAAUGAUUUGGAUAUUUAAAAAUCUAAAUGGUUAAAUCAAUGAAUAGUGUGCAUUUCUUGUCAAUGUAUUUUAUUGAGUUAAUUUGUGUAUUAGUCGUCAAGCUAAAUGUGUAUGAAAUUGUGAUGUUGUUCUGAGAACAUUGAUAAGUUGUUGAAAUGAAUGUUCUCAUCAUAUUAUUAUACCAUGUCAGAGAAAAUUCUCACUCAUUUAAAGUAUGCACUAAUCAA